RNAcentral lists this ribosomal RNA (200 nucleotides) under uncultured bacterium. Its description in RNAcentral is "partial 16S ribosomal RNA". It matches the Rfam family "Bacterial small subunit ribosomal RNA", at positions 524 to 723 of the family's 1533-position model. The record is from RNAcentral.
UACGGAGGGUGCAAGCGUUAUCCGGAAUCAUUGGGUUUAAAGGGUCCGCAGGCGGACUAAUAAGUCAGUGGUGAAAGCCCAUCGCUUAACGAUGGAACUGCCAUUGAAACUGUUAGUCUUGAAUUCGGUCGAAGUGGGCGGAAUGUGUCAUGUAGCGGUGAAAUGCAUAGAUAUGACACAGAACACCGAUAGCGAAGGCA